This 419-nucleotide long non-coding RNA is filed under the name Monodelphis domestica (gray short-tailed opossum). RNAcentral's name for it is "lncRNA (ENSMODG00000043470.1)". Lineage: Eukaryota; Metazoa; Chordata; Mammalia; Didelphimorphia; Didelphidae. The record is from RNAcentral.
AGAGAUUAAGAAAAUCCCUUUAACAAACCUUUAAUUAGGGGCCAUGGAUGCUCUGAGAGGAUACCAGAGGCCUCAUGGCUUGCCAUUUUUUCCUCCUCUCUCUUUCUCUGUCUAGAGAGUUUUCCUGGCUCAGAAGUUUUGACUAGUGAACAAAGACAAGUCCAGCAAACUCAGAUUAGUUAAGUGCAGCCUGGUGAUUAUGGGACUGUCUCUUUCUUACUCCAAUCUUUACUAUCUAAUAAUCAUAAAUUCUUCUAUUCUUCAAAGAUCUUCCAGGUAUACAUACAUGGAGAAUUUAUUAAAUUGGCAGACGACAAGUAGCUGAAAAGGACAAUAAUAUCUACCUACAGAAUCAGAAUUCAUGUAUUCUCAACAGGCAAGUAAAAAGCAGGGAGGGGUUGCUAGCUAAGAUCCUGGUA